CACGUAGGGGGCAAGCGUUGUCCGGAAUUAUUGGGCGUAAAGAGCUCGUAGGCGGUUUGUCGCGUCGAAUGUGAAAACCCGGGGCUCAACCCCGGGCCUGCAUUCGAUACGGGCAGACUAGAGUUCGGUAGGGGAGUCUGGAAUUCCUGGUGUAGCGGUGAAAUGCGCAGAGAUCGGGAGGAACACCCGUAGCGAAGGCAGCUCGCUGGGACGGAACUGACGCUGAGGCGCGAAAGCGUGGGGAGCGAACAGG
RNAcentral lists this ribosomal RNA (253 nucleotides) under uncultured bacterium. RNAcentral's name for it is "partial 16S ribosomal RNA". It matches the Rfam family "Bacterial small subunit ribosomal RNA", at positions 524 to 776 of the family's 1533-position model. The record is from RNAcentral.